GACGAACCGUCCAAACGUUAUUCGGAAUCACUGGGCUUACAGAGUUCGUAGGCGGUCUGGUAAGUUGGGCGUGAAAUCCCUCGGCUCAACCGAGGAACUGCGCUUGAAACUACCAGACUCGAGGGAGAUAGAGGAAAGCGGAACUGAUGGUGGAGCGGUGAAAUGCGUUGAUAUCAGCAGGAACACCGGUGGCGAAGGCGGCUUUCUGGGUCUUACCUGACGCUGAGGAACGAAAGCCAGGGGAGCGAACGGG
This 253-nucleotide ribosomal RNA is filed under the name uncultured bacterium. RNAcentral describes it as "partial 16S ribosomal RNA". It matches the Rfam family "Bacterial small subunit ribosomal RNA", at positions 524 to 776 of the family's 1533-position model. The record is from RNAcentral.